Molecule: ribosomal RNA, 468 nt
Filed under: uncultured bacterium
Lineage: Bacteria
Description: partial 16S ribosomal RNA
Rfam family: Bacterial small subunit ribosomal RNA
Source: RNAcentral
GACGAACGCUGGCGGCGUGCUUAACACAUGCAAGUCGAACGGAAAGGCCCUGCUUUUGUGGGGUGCUCGAGUGGCGAACGGGUGAGUAACACGUGAGUAACCUGCCCUUGACUUUGGGAUAACUUCAGGAAACUGGGGCUAAUACCGGAUAGGAGCUCCUGCUGCAUGGUGGGGGUUGGAAAGUUUCGGCGGUUGGGGGUGGACUCGCGGCUUAUCAGCUUGUUGGGGUGGUGGUGGCUUACGCAGGCUUUGCCGGGUAGCCGGCCUGAGAGGGUGACCGGCCACAUUGGGACUGAGAUACGGCCCAGACUCCUCCGGGAGGCAGCAGUGGGGAAUAUUGCACAAUGGGCGGAAGCCUGAUGCAGCAACGCCGCGUGCGGGAUGACGGCCUUCGGGUUGUAAACCGCUUUCGCCUGUGACGAAGCGUGAGUGACGGUAAUGGGUAAAGAAGCACCGGCUAACUACGUG